CUAUUGUCUUCUGCCAGUGCCCCUGCUAAUCGCUGAGAAAACUCCCCUGAGCCACAUGCAACGAUGAAGUUAAUGUGGGUAAGUCUCAUCCAAUCCUUUGAAGGCCUGAAGAACAAAGAGUGAGGUUUCUGGAAGAAGAAAAUUUUACCUCAAGCCUGCAAUGUAGAAAUUCUGCUUGAGUUUCCCGCCUGCUGGCCUGCCCUGUGGAAUUCGGAGUCAAGAAGGAGUCUUGUAAGCAUUAACUGAGAUAGUAUAUGAAGAGUGCUUUUGCACCGAGUGAACCUUCAAUCAACUGUACUAGUUUGUAUGCCUGGAAGAGCUGCUAUAUGGGAUCAGAAAGAAAAAUAAGGUGCAUACGCCAGAAAAAAAAUACUUGCAUAUGAGUACUAGGAGAUGCAUGACAAUGUUCACGGCAGCAGUAUUCAUGGCAGUGAAAAAUGAAAAGAACUGAAAUGCCCAUUGAUAAAAACGUCUACUUAUUUGUGUCAUCUUUGCACAGUGGAAUUGUGCGAGUGGAAAUGAUUGAUCUACAGCUAGGAGAAGCAGCAGAGCUCAAUCUCAAAAACAUAACGUUGUGUGGAAAAAGCUAACCUCAGAACACUUUGCGGCUCUAUCUUAGCAAACCAGGAGAGAAAUUCUCCUGAUGGCCUUGAAGAAGCAAACAGCCACCUGGUUAAGCCCCUGUGGAUAGUGCCAAGUGGCAGGAAAGUGGGAGCCACCUCUAGGACCUGAGGAUUAAAGUCAGUAAGAGCUGGGACCUCACUCAUGCAGACUCGAGGACAUGAAUUCGACCAACAACUUGAAUGAGCUUGGAAGUGGAUUCUUCCCUAGUCCAGUCUUCAGAAAUUAAGAAUGUUCCCAAAGAAUGAUGGAGACAUUUCAAAAGGAUACGGAAGCCAGAUUGUGGGCGCUUCUACUGGCCAACUCUGGGACAUCGUGGACAUCAAAAUAAAUUUGUAAUAAUAAAGGAUUAUAGCCUAUUAGUUAAAUCAGAAAAAUCUGAUUUAACUAAAUGAGUAGGAGGAAAAGAAAGCUCUUCCUUAUAUUAGAAAGUCAAUUAAUAAAUGCAGAAAGGAAUGAAAAAAUUAGAAAAGCCACCAUUUGGCAACCAUGGCAGGCAGAAUGGGGAGUAUGCCUCCAGACAGUAAUUCCUUUCAAACUGGUUUAUAGGAACUCACUGAGCUUGCUGAUCGACCUCUGAGAGGCAAAGUUUCUGAAUUAUGAAGUACUGAUUAUAUAAACUUAGACAGAGACAUGCUUCAUUAUUUAAUAGGACUGUGUCAAAAGCCUACUAUUAGGAUGAUGUGUUGGGUGUGGAACAGGGUCUCUUCCUGCCAGGAACACUGGUGAUUUCACUCCGUGUUCAGGCUGAUCUUUGAAGUUGAAGACAAGCAGAAGAAUCCUUCUAAAAUUUAGCCAUGCCCAUAGGCUGGGAGGGACACUGCUCCAUUCAGAGGCAGCAAAGCACAUUACUGUAUCUCCUAUAGAGCUUUGAGCAGUCCAGUGUACAUGGAGAAACUUAGUAAAUGUUGUUGAAUUAGUGAAUGAACAAAUCAAUGGACCAAGUCAGGGGUAAGUCUUACAUUUGUCAUCUAGGUGAUUAAGAAAGGAAAAAGUAUCUGUUUCAAGAGGAUUACAAUCUAACUGUACUCCAAUAGUAAAAUUUACUCUUUUGGAAUCUGAAGACAUUCAUGAGUCUUUGCAUCUUAUUUCCUGAAUUCUAACUUCCCUUGCCUUUAUGAAUGACAAAGAAGAUGCAUACAACCUUUGUAAAUGCUUGCUGAAUUUGAACAUUAUGUUGCUUUGUGAUUGCCUCCACUUGGGAUUCCAAAUGACAUCAUGUGGAUUCACUGGAGGCCUCGGGUAGCUGGGGAACUGAGGGGAUAAGAUGCACACAUGGUACACAAGCACACGUACACCAACAACGUAAAUAGACACGUAACUAGAAACAGCUGUGCAGAGCCAUUUAGUAAAAGGUUGAGUAGCUGGAACCAUCAGGAGUGCGUGGGAAUGAGUUCAAGCUCCCCCCAUGAGGCCUUCCUAAGGCUUUGCAGGAGGGCAAGAACAAGGUCUGGGAAGUGGGGAAAUGGGAUGGCUCAGUCUGUCCUUAGCAUCUCGAUCCUGGCUGACUCUCCACCACUCCUCACCCUUGCAAGAUUACACACUUUGAUUUAUGUGACAUUUAGGCAGAAAGCAGCCUAGAGCACUCUGGGGGUAUUAACCCAGAAGACAUACAAAUCAGAUUGGACCAAAGGGGAAAGAAGCCUCAGACAUCCGCAGGGGAAUAAGAAGGAUAUUGUAUGCUACUUGACCUGAUCUCUUUCCUACUCAGGAAAGUCAGUAGAUAAAUAAUAAAAUUGAUAGUGCAUGGAGAGUUGAGAGGCAAGACUUGCAGCAUUGAAGUCUGAAUUUCUGUCCUGAAUAUGAUAUUUGUACUCCCCCCAACUCCCUGGUCUCCAAAGGAAUCUGGUCUGUCACUAAACAGCAUCUUCUCAAUCUCCUCCAUGUCAUAAAGUGGGAGAGUGGGGGUAGUGGAAAAGGCAUGUCUUUAUUUUGAAGAUGAGAAAUUUACAUUCUUUUUCGUUAAAAUAAUCAUUUCUAAGGGGUAAUAUAUUGUAGGAUCAGAGAUUUCUAGGACUGGAAGGAUCUUUUAGAAACCGUAGAACCUAAGCCCCUUAUUAUACAGAGGAGAAAUCUGAAACAUGGAAAAAGAGAAUUUGCCUGAUGUCUCAGAAAGACUAAGCAGCAUUGGCUCUAUGAACAAGAGCUAAAAAUCCCAAUUCCAAUACUACAAAGAUGAAAUGGUACACAAAACUUUACAAUCUACACAACUGAAUCAUCUUUCUUUCUCAUUACACUUUGGUUGUCAUCCAAAAAUAUAUAGCUUGAUCACUCACCUUAGUCAUCUGAAACACCUGAGCCAAAUCCAAUUCCCGUGCAGCUGCCACGCAAGGUUAUGCCUCUGUCCAGUGGCCUCUGUGUUGCCAAGACUCUGUGGAUUUGACAACAGGAAUUUAGGUGGAGUUUUGAACAAUGGUGUCAUGGUUGGAACAGGCAUGCAAUUCCUAAAAUUUAUGAGUUGUGAUUGUGUGUGAUAGUGGUUUAAGUUUGGAGUUUGAAUAUUGGCUCUUCCACUUUAUAGCAGAGUGAAUUUGGACCAGAUGCUUACAGCCUACCUCAUGAGAUUAAAUGAGAUAAUAUGUGUAAAGCAUUGAGUAUAGCAUCUGCAUUAAAAUAACCACCAUUUGUGUAAAAUGUAUUAAUACCAUCUUAUCACUUCUGUUUCUAGAAUAAGUCUAAGCCAAUAUUUUUGUAAGUUUGUUUUGUUUUGUUUUGUUUGACAUGGAGUCUCACUCUGUUGCCAGGCUGGAGUGCAGUGGUGCAAACUCAGCUCACUGCAACCUCCGACUCCGAGGUUCAAGUGAUUCUCCUGCCUCAGCCUCCCGAGUAGCUGGGACUACAGGUGCCUGCCACCACGCCCAGCUAGUUUUUGUAUUUUUAGUAGAGAUGGGGUUUCACCAUGUUGGCCAGGGUGGUCUCCAUCUCUUGACCUCAUGAUCCCGCCUGCCUCGGCCUCCCAAAGUGCUGGGAUUACAGGCAUGAGCCACCGCCGCUGGCCUAUUUUUGUAACUUUUAGAGGCCAAUAUGCAUGGGAGUUUGCCUUCUCUUGCUGCCCUUAGGUCUUCUGCCACCAAAGCAUGGGAAGAAAGUUAAGCUGGCUUACUGGAGAAUAAGAGACACAAAGUCCUAUGUCCCACAUUACCCUGACUGACAACUAAGCAAUUGCUAGACUGUGUGAGUGGGACCAUCCUAAGUCAUCCAGCCCCCUGCAGACUCUCCAGCUGUCUGCAAAUGCAUAAGCAAGUGGGGGAAUGAUCAGUUGAGAAGUCCUAAACCAGAAGAACUACUCAGCUGACCCAAAGGAUUGUCAAUUAAAUAAACAGUGAUUGAUUUAACCCAUCAGUUUUUGGGGAAGGUUGUUAACCAGCCAAAACUAACGGAUGCAGUGUCCUAUGUGUUCAUGUCCUGAAUGAAUGAGAGAUGAUAUAUGUAAGGAAGAGGCCAAGAACCAUCCACCAGCAGGAUUCUUCUUUCAGCAGAGAAGAUGGUUUUGCAUGGAGUUAUCCCCACCCUCUCCCUUGGCGCUUCCUUUCUGGGGAAGAGUGAAAUUUGUGACCCCUGAAAGGAGACUGCUGGCUGGGUGUGGUGGGAGACCGGGAUAUGACCUGGCCUCAUUAACACCAUGCACCCUAACUAGCUGGGCCAAUCAGUCUGUCUCUGUCCUCCUGGAAACUCUUACCACCCACUGUCUCCCAGACUACAGCACCCCACCCACCAAUCCUCCCUUCGAAACAAAGAUGCAUGCAAGCACGUAGUGGAAAUGCCGGGCCAGAAGCCUGCCUCCAAGACUCUGUUGGGGUUCCAGGAGGCAGAAAUGCCAAGUUGGAUUCACAGGUGCCAGGAAGGCCUUACUCCUGGGCACAACAGACUGCCAUAAGGUGGCUCCAGGAAGAGAAACUCCACGUAGUCCUUCAGAAACUCAUUCUCACCUUUCCAAUCCUUUCUAUGAAAAAGGUUCUUAUUCAUGUUACUUUAACCUAUUUUCUUUCUUUCUUUUUUUUUUUUUUUUUUGAGAUAGAGUCUCGCUCUGUCCCCAGACUGGAGUACAGUGGCACGAUCUCAGCUCACUGCAACCUCUGACUCCCUGGUUCAAGUGAUUCUCCUGCCUCAGCCUCCUGAGUAGCUGGAAUUACAGGCAUGUGCCACCACGCCCAGCUAAUUUUUGUAUUUUUAGUAGAGACAGGGUUUCACCAUGUUGGUCAGGAUGGUCUCGAUCUCCUGACCUCAAGAUCUCCCUGCCUUGGCCUCCCAAAGUGCUGGGAUUACAGGCAUGAGCCACCAUGCCUGGCCUACCCAUUUUCUUUAUCUCAAUUCCAGGCCAUAUCAAGUGCCAAUUUUAUUAGCAUUUAAUAUUUCAAAGACAAGGAUGUCUUGUUUGGAAGACACCAUUCAAACCCUCCAGUCCUCUUCUUUGUAACAGCAUAUGAGGGUAAGAAGAGAACAAAAAAUUAUGUCCUCAGGUAGGUCAGUUUUACAUGGUUUUUGAUUCACUGUUGCACAUUCCAUCUAUGUCUACCUUUGUUUUUUGAAGACUCCCCAGCUCCUGGGCCCUUAAGAAAACAAUAUAUAUCAGGAUGGGUUUGGCAACCCUUCCAGAACCACCUUUUCUGCCCUAAUAUACUUAUGCCUCUUUACAUUUGUUUUCAGCUCUUUGGUCCUGAACACUCUCCUGCCAAUGGCCCUUUUGGCAUUAUCGACUUCAGCUUUCUAAUCUGGUUUUAUUCUCUGUUUAUCUCUCUGAUUUUAGCAUUUCCACUUGAACCAGAUGAGAACUCCUGCUCCAAAAUCAGUGUCCUAGCCUAUUAUUAAUGUCCUCAUUUCUACCAUUAGAUAAUCUUUGCUUUAAGUGAGGAGCCAGAAAACUUUUUCUAUAAAGAUCCAAAUAGUAAAUAUUUUAGUCUUAACAGGCCACAUAUAGUCUUCAUCGCAUGUUCUUUCUUCUUUUCUUUUUUAACAUUUAACAUAUAAACAUCAUUCUUUGCUUGAGAAUUGUGCAUAAGCAGGUGUGGGCUAGGUUUGGCUUGCAGGCUCAUGGCUUGCCUUUAAAUCAGAGUCUACUCUUUAAAACACAAUUCCUUUAAAGCAGAGUCUAUUCUUAAAACACAAAUAUUCCUGGAAAUAGUGAAUAACCAGCAACUCAGUAUGAAUUAGUUCAUUCUCCUUUCUAGUUCCAACUGGAUGGAA
Molecule: long non-coding RNA, 5805 nt
Filed under: Homo sapiens (human)
Lineage: Eukaryota; Metazoa; Chordata; Mammalia; Primates; Hominidae
Description: HSALNT0308966
Source: RNAcentral